This 457-nucleotide ribosomal RNA is filed under the name uncultured marine microorganism. RNAcentral describes it as "bacterial SSU rRNA". It matches the Rfam family "Bacterial small subunit ribosomal RNA", at positions 355 to 827 of the family's 1533-position model. The record is from RNAcentral.
UGGGGAAUCUUCCGCAAUGGGCGAAAGCCUGACGGAGUAAUACCGCGUGAGGGAGGAAUGCCUUUGGGUUGUAAACCUCUUUUCUCAGGGAAGAAGAUCUGACGGUACCUGAGGAAUAAGUAUCGGCUAACUCCGUGCCAGCAGCCGCGGUAAUACGGAGGAUGCAAGCGUUAUCCGGAAUCAUUGGGCGUAAAGCGUCCGCAGGUGGUUUCCAAAGUCUGCUGUUAAAGACUGGAGCUCAACUCCGGAACGGCGGUGGAAACUUGGAAACUAGAGUUCGGUAGGGGCAGCAGGAAUUCCCAGUGUAGCGGUGAAAUGCGUAGAUAUUGGGAAGAACAUCGGUGGCGAAGGCGUGCUACUGGACCGUAACUGACACUCAGGGACGAAAGCUAGGGGAGCGAAAGGGAUUAGAUACCCCUGUAGUCCUAGCUGUAAACGAUGGAAACUAGGUGUGGCU